GCCACCGCGGUUAUACGAAAGACCCAAACUGAUAGAUGCCGGCGUAAAGAGUGGUUAAGUAUCUUGAUAGAACUAAAGCCGAACGCCCUCAAGACCGUCAUACGUUUCCGAAGGUAUGAAGCCCAACUACGAAAGUAACUUUAACUGUAUCCGACUCCACGAAAGCUGUGAAACAAACUGGGAUUAGAUACCCCACUAUG
This 200-nucleotide ribosomal RNA is filed under the name Mugil cephalus (flathead mullet). RNAcentral's name for it is "partial small subunit ribosomal RNA". Lineage: Eukaryota; Metazoa; Chordata; Actinopteri; Mugiliformes; Mugilidae. The record is from RNAcentral.